GAUGAACGCUGGCGGCGUGCCUAAUACAUGCAAGUCGAGCGAACCACUUCGGUGGUGAGCGGCGAACGGGUGAGUAACACGUAGGUGAUCUGCCCAUCAGACGGGGACAACGAUUGGAAACGAUCGCUAAUACCGGAUAGGACGAAAGUUUAAAGGUGCUUCUGGCACCGCUGAUGGAUGAGCCUGCGGCGCAUUAGCUAGUUGGUAGGGUAAAGGCCUACCAAGGCGACGAUGCGUAGCCGACCUGAGAGGGUGAACGGCCACACUGGGACUGAGACACGGCCCAGACUCCUACGGGAGGCAGCAGUAGGGAAUCUUCGGCAAUGGGCGAAAGCCUGACCGAGCAACGCCGCGUGAAUGAUGAAGGCCUCGGUUGUAAAUUACUGUUAUAA
This 392-nucleotide ribosomal RNA is filed under the name uncultured bacterium. RNAcentral's name for it is "bacterial SSU rRNA". It matches the Rfam family "Bacterial small subunit ribosomal RNA", at positions 28 to 441 of the family's 1533-position model. The record is from RNAcentral.